This 20-nucleotide ribosomal RNA is filed under the name Cortinarius collinitus. Its description in RNAcentral is "partial 18S ribosomal RNA". The record is from RNAcentral. Lineage: Eukaryota; Fungi; Basidiomycota; Agaricomycetes; Agaricales; Cortinariaceae.
GACCUGCGGAAGGAUCCAUA